UACAGAGGGGGCAAGCGUUGUUCGGAAUUACUGGGCGUAAAGGGCGCGUAGGCGGCCUGCUAAGUCAGACGUGAAAUCCCUCGGCUCAACCGGGGAACUGCGUCUGAUACUGGUGGGCUUGAGUUCGGGAGAGGAAUGUGGAAUUCCAGGUGUAGCGGUGAAAUGCGUAGAUAUCUGGAGGAACACCGGUGGCGAAGGCGGCAUUCUGGACCGACACUGACGCUGAGGCGCGAAAGCCAGGGGAGCAAAC
This 250-nucleotide ribosomal RNA is filed under the name uncultured bacterium. RNAcentral describes it as "partial 16S ribosomal RNA". It matches the Rfam family "Bacterial small subunit ribosomal RNA", at positions 524 to 773 of the family's 1533-position model. The record is from RNAcentral.